UACGUAGGGGGCAAGCGUUAUCCGGAUUUACUGGGUGUAAAGGGAGCGUAGACGGCUGUGCAAGUCUGGAGUGAAAACCCGGGGCUCAACCCCGGGAUUGCUUUGGAAACUGUGUAGCUGGAGUACCGGAGAGGUAAGUGGAAUUCCUAGUGUAGCGGUGAAAUGCGUAGAUAUUAGGAGGAACACCAGUGGCGAAGGCGGCUUGCUGGACGGUAACUGACGUUGAGGCUCGAAAGCGUGGGGAGCAAACAGG
RNAcentral lists this ribosomal RNA (253 nucleotides) under uncultured bacterium. RNAcentral's name for it is "partial 16S ribosomal RNA". It matches the Rfam family "Bacterial small subunit ribosomal RNA", at positions 524 to 776 of the family's 1533-position model. The record is from RNAcentral.